RNAcentral lists this unclassified non-coding RNA (327 nucleotides) under soil metagenome. Its description in RNAcentral is "partial contains 5.8S ribosomal RNA, internal transcribed spacer 2, and large subunit ribosomal RNA". The stretch from base 1 to 120 matches the Rfam family "5.8S ribosomal RNA", at positions 35 to 154 of the family's 154-position model. The record is from RNAcentral.
GAUGAAGAACGCAGCGAAAUGCGAUAAGUAGUGUGAAUUGCAGAAUUCAGUGAAUCAUCGAAUCUUUGAACGCACAUUGCGCCCCUUGGUAUUCCGAGGGGCAUGCCUGUUCGAGCGUCAUUUUGACCACUCCCGCUUGCGGGGUCUUGGGCCUUCGCCUCUGGGCGGGCCUUAAAAUCAGUGGCGGUGCCGUCCGGCUCUAAGCGUAGUAAAUCUCCUCGCUAUAGGGUUCCGGAGGGAUGCUGGCCAACAACCCCCAACUUUUAAGGUUGACCUCGGAUCAGGUAGGGAUACCCGCUGAACUUAAGCAUAUCAAUAAGCGGAGGA